Molecule: unclassified non-coding RNA, 4531 nt
Filed under: Leishmania donovani
Lineage: Eukaryota; Euglenozoa; Kinetoplastea; Trypanosomatida; Trypanosomatidae
Description: gene:unknown
Source: RNAcentral
GCUGCUCACACACGUGCCCCAUGCGCAGCGGUUUCCCGCGCCCCAACGGGUACGCCCUCUUGCGGGCUACGAGCGGGUUUCUCCAGGGGAAGAAGCGCUAGCGUCGCACAGGCGACGACUCCGCCGUUUUGCGAAGCUCCUCUACUCUCUGCGGAAAGGUGGCGCAGCACGCGCCGCCACAAACUCAAGAGGGGCCGCGGCGCUGCACAACAAUGCCGCCACCGCGCUGGGCAUGGUGGGGUGUGGCUGGGGCUCGGCCGGCUGCAAAGAAGGCUUGGUGAACAAACGCGCCGAAAGGUGGGGUGUGGCUGCUGUUGCGAGCGCGCUCUCCCUCCUCGCGGCGCUCGGUGGGGGCCGUGCGGGGGCGUGGGGCGGCGCAUUGCGACAUAUCUGGGCACGAAUGCUGGCGCCACCAGCCCGUCGCGUUCGCCUGUCAUUUCGCUCUGUCUUUGUCCAUUGUGCACCGGAACACGGCGGCGAAGCAUGCAAGUUUGCAAAAUCGACAUUGCCAGAGGCGCCGGCGCAAGACGCCAGACCGACAUCCCGCGAAACCGUGCUACGUGAUGCGACGUUCCACGACAAGAGCUUCUUCACGGCAGCUGUCGCACACCAGGGGGGGUACGGCUGCUGAGCCUACGGGUCGGUGGGGGACUCUCCUCCCCCAGUUCCGCUCGGGCAUCUGUCCGCACUCUGGGUUCGCGGGGCGGCGGGUGGCUGGCAGCGGCGCCGUAUGGGGUGCGGGCGGUGCAUUGCCCAGUGCUGCGCUGGCGCUGUGGUGCCCACCCGCGUUUGCCAUGAGAGUGUCUGGCAAGGCGCUUUUCCCGCUGCGCCAGGCGGGGCUCGCGCAUCGCUCGGGGGCUCGGGGCACACUCGGUUUCACGCGGUGAUCCUGCACACGGUGGCCUGAUUACGUUCACCUCGCUCUCGCUGCAUGGGCUUCCCCGCCGGGUGCCCAUCGCUGCUCCCCCGCGCUCUCUCGGGGGUGCUGGCGACGGGUUCUUUGUGCGCCGCCGCCUCUGCAUCCGCGGGCCCCUUCCGCCUGGCCCGCCCACUCAUGUCAAAGGGGUUUGGAUCCAGCGGCGGGCGGAGUGCCCCCUGCUGCCGCAGCGCCCCAGCUAUCGCGGCGUAUGCGGUCCAGCCAUCCAGACACGCCCCCCCCCCCUGGCAUUGGGGGGGGAACGGAGGAUGACGGCAGGGAACCUCCCCUCCAGACAGCAACGCCGCGCUGUGAAGCCGGCCCCCGGUUCCGAAGAAUUGGAGCACUGUGCGCGCGCGCCGCCAAGCACAGACGGCAAUGGCGUAUCACACCCGAGCAAGUCAUGCGGAGGCCAGAGGGGCAAGGGUGUUGGACGAAAAGUGCGCGAAGCGAUCCAUGCCGGCGCACCCCACAGUGCAUGUGCGCAGCAUGUGCGGUAUCCCCAUCCGACCGGUGUGGGCUGAUUGCGGCACAGGUGCGGGAGGCAUGACGAGAACACCCCGAGCUGCACUACCGAGCCCACCGGACCCCAAUGUGAAGAGCCCUUGCACCAUGCUAUGGGAUGCAGCGGCUUUAGGCCACUCAGUGAGAAGCAUGGCGCGCAGGCAGGGCAGAGGGUCUCAGAGGGUCCUGACCUGAGGCUGGCCAGCUUGCCCCGAGUUCAUCCGGCAUACACCUGGACCAAACCAUGCUCCCCGCACGCCAGACGCCGCCGCCGGCGCCCUCGAGGGCAGGACGCUGGGCUCGGCCUGCGUGGGUCGAAGCGCGUCGUCCACCCAGGCCCGUCUGGCGCCGGAGGUCCAGCACACACAUGAGGAAGGACGAGAAGGGUUCGUUAGAAGAAUGGGCCGGCUCACCGGCGGAUGGUUCGCCCUAGACGACCAGGGUGGAGCCGCAGUGCGAGAGAGGCUGAUGAACGGUGUUUGCGCGCGUAAUGUUUCUUGACUUUCUCCUAGUAGCGUGGACACGAAGUGAAAAGGAAAUGUUGCUUGUAGAGUGGAAGUCAGACGAUGUUCUCGUAUUAUCAGCUUUUAUGCAUUAAUGAGGAUGCAAAGGAUUUGGAAAGGAUAGAUUGGCAGACUUUUUCGGAACUCAAACUCUUCUGCCAGCUACACAAGGCUACACCCGCAUUUUUCCAUUUGAAAUUGGUGCUGUUGUUUUCAGUCGGUUCUGAUGGCUCAAAUCUGGAGAUAUGAAAAUCUAACAGAACUAUUCAGUAUUUGGAGUGACGCAUUGAAGAUGUGGGACUGAGGAUGGCUUUCUGCAGUUUUCAUCAUCUUAUCUGCGAGUGCCGGCUUUUGAGCCUCGAAAAACAGUUGCGAGCACUGGAGCACUUCACAUUGUUCGUCGAUCCUCGGGAUACGAGCUGCUAGACUGUCUUCGUCUUGUGCGUUGUUUCCUCCCUUUCGUGGAAUCGAAGCGCGUUCUUGGUAGUCGUUCGAUUUUUUUUCCCAAUGCUGUGCCUGAUUUUUGUCAGCACUUGAUAAUCUGAUUACAGCGUAUCCGCGAAAUUACUCGCCCAGCUUACACUCGCAUCCGUUCUUUGGGCGAGCCUCUUGCAAGCUGUUGCGCUAGCUCAUCAGGGCCUUUUUUCGCGAGAGGUAACUGGAUGCUCUUGAGUAAGUAUUUCGCUUUUUUCUACAAUGAUAUUGAGGUCAAGUGUCUCUGAUUUUUUUUGAAACCUAGUGUGACGUGAUUUUUUUUUGCAGUCUGCACGAUCUCCCGAAUGAUGAGGAUUCCCUCAGCGUGGUUUCAGGGCCCGGUGCUCCACUCUAUAGGCAAUCCAAGCAGUCCCAUAUACCUUCCAAUGCCGAGCUACUUCCGGUGGCGGCAGGCUCAGGCCCCCACGUCGUGGGGAAGUCAGAGCGAUGUAUUGCUGCUGAUUUCAGUGGCCAUCUCCUGGCGUGGGCCUCAUCUGAGAGUCCUGCAACAGUGAACACGUUUGUGCCAUGCAUGUGAUAGGCAGAGCGUCAGCGUGGCUCGAACGCAUCUCGCCCAGCUCUCAGAAUGACACCUUGAAAGAAAAAAAAUAUCGCCUAGUAGGUGCACCACUUUAAAAUCGAAAAACGCCUUGUUCCUAAUAGCGUUGCUGCAAGUGUAUUGAGGGACAUCGUUUGCCGACACAUAAUAGCACGGGCAGGGUUCAAGGGAAGUCAGUGAUUCCUUUCCAAGACUGCAUAACGCCGUGUUCGGCCUCUUUAUCAAAGCAAGCUGGAUGAUUGCUCGUCACCAGGUUCACCGAUUUGAAAUCAUCGAAAGCUUCGACUGCUUUUUAAAGGGGCACUGAGCCACACAUUGGGCUGCCCUGCCACCGGCAUGCUUUAUUUGCUAGAAUGGCGUUUAGCUGAGGGUAAACGGGUGCGUUUAUUGAUGGUUCUCUCUAAAGCUUUAUGGCGCCAGAAUGACCGCCUAAGGUGUGAUGCAAAAAGGUGUACGACUGACUUGUGUGUGUCCUGCGGAAAGGUGCUUGAGGAAUCUCCUGCAAGCAGUUGCCGAGGCGAUGCAACGGAACAAGUGGAUUGUCGCGUGCUUUGGAGGUGUUGCUCAACAGCGCUUUGCGAGCCCCACCAACUACACUAGGCGAGAGCUUCUUCCUUUUUGCUGGAGAAUGACACCAUCGGCAAGAUCGCAUGUGUAUUUUUGUUGCGAUUUGAGUGGAGAAUGCCUGAGUAAAUAUAGCUCUGUUGUAUUUGUGGAGGGCUUGCUACAGUGGCACAAAUCGGGGCAUUUGAUGCUGUUAAACAGAGAUCUGUCCGUGAGGCGCAUGAAGCCCAAGGCUCUCGGCCUUGCGGUUGGAAUAGCUGAACGGCUGAUGUCAAAGUGAAGGUUUUCAUCGGGGAAGGCUUACUUUAGCCAAGACUUCUAUGACACCUCUAUUCCAACCGCAGCUCUUUUUCUUGGUCAAUGUACCAACCGGGUCGACCUCGUACAGAGACGUGAGUGUUCUGACCCUGGGACCCGCCAUUGGUUAUGAUGUGAAAACCAUUUCGCAUUAUGGGAGAGGAGCCAAUGACUAGAAAGUUGCUGAGAUGAAGGAGCGCUGAUCGACUUCGGGUUAUUGGGGAGUUGUAUGUGAGGCAAGGCAACAGUGGCUGCAGGCGAAAUGCUGAUUUCGUUCCUGUCCACAGCGUAUGCUUCUCCACGAGUGUUGUCCGCGUGGAACGGGCUCCACAGUGUUUGGCUCUGUUACCUGGUCUUCGAGUGCACAUUCACUCCUGAACGUUGAGCUUUUGUGGGCUUCAGUCAUAACUGGGCUUUGUGCUAUAUGCCUUGAUGGGCCGAUAACGUGGCUUUUUCGAGUUUGAUGUUGUAUUUUUCAACACCGGGUGCUUGACAAAAGCUACUAGCGUGCAAGCUACGCGACCCACUGCCAAACAGGGCGACAAGGAGCCAGAAAGUGACUUGAUGCACGACUGUGUCGAUCUCCUGCAGAGUUUUUUCAAUGCAUCUGCUUAGAGUUUCGGAAAGUGUUUCUCUUCUGUUACCCUUAUUUAAUUCUGCAGGGCUAUGUGCAAUAGUGCCACAUUCUCUUAUUUAAAUCAAGUUUAGCUGCGA